GACGAACGCUGGCGGCGUGCCUAAAACAUGCAAGUCGAACGGUGUAGCAAUACACAGUGGCGAACGGCGGAGUAAUACAUGAACAACGUGCCCGGAAGACUGGGAUAGUCAGGGGAAACCCUGGGUAAUACCAGAUGUGGCCACUCUUUGGCAUCUUAGAGUGAUUAAAUGGUUUUUCGCUUCCGGAGCGGUUCAUGGCCUAUCAGGUAGUUGGUGAGGUAAUGGCUCACCAAGCCGACGACGGGUAGCGGGUCUGAGAGGAUGAUCCGCUCGAGUGGGACUGAGACACGGCCCACACACCUACGGGUGGCAGCAGUUGGGAAUCUUGCACAAUGGGGGAAACCCUGAUGCAGCGACGCCGCGUGGAGGAUGAAGAUCUAGGUCUGUAAACUCCCUUUUCAGGGAAAGACUUAGGACGGUACCCUGAGAAUAAGGACCGGCUAACUACGUGCCAGCCGCCGCU
This 463-nucleotide ribosomal RNA is filed under the name uncultured bacterium. Its description in RNAcentral is "bacterial SSU rRNA". It matches the Rfam family "Bacterial small subunit ribosomal RNA", at positions 28 to 519 of the family's 1533-position model. The record is from RNAcentral.